ACAUAGCCCUGAUGGUAACGGCAUCCUUUUUCUUUUCCGUUAACUUCGGCUACGCUCAGGCAACGGAAAAGAAAAAGAUAUAGUGGACAGCAGGUUGGAAU
Molecule: small RNA, 101 nt
Filed under: Chryseobacterium sp. FH1
Lineage: Bacteria; Pseudomonadati; Bacteroidota; Flavobacteriia; Flavobacteriales; Weeksellaceae
Description: Flavo-1 RNA
Rfam family: Flavo-1 RNA
Source: Rfam by way of RNAcentral